RNAcentral lists this ribosomal RNA (451 nucleotides) under uncultured bacterium. RNAcentral describes it as "partial 16S ribosomal RNA". It matches the Rfam family "Bacterial small subunit ribosomal RNA", at positions 354 to 796 of the family's 1533-position model. The record is from RNAcentral.
GUGGGGAAUAUUGGACAAUGGGGGGAACCCUGAUCCAGCCAUGCCGCGUGUGUGAAGAAGGCCUUUUGGUUGUAAAGCACUUUAAGCGAGGAGGAGGCUACCGAGAUUAAUACUCUUGGAUAGUGGACGUUACUCGCAGAAUACGCACCGGCUAACUCUGUGCCAGCAGCCGCGGUAAUACAGAGGGUGCAAGCGUUAAUCGGAUUUACUGGGCGUAAAGCGCGCGUAGGUGGCCAAUUAAGUCAAAUGUGAAAUCCCCGAGCUUAACUUGGGAAUUGCAGUCGAUACUGGUUGGCUAGAGUAUGGGAGAGGAUGGUAGAAUUCCAGGUGUAGCGGUGAAAUGCGUAGAGAUCUGGAGGAAUACCGAUGGCGAAGGCAGCCAUCUGGCCUAAUACUGACACUGAGGUGCGAAAGCAUGGGGAGCAAACAGGAUUAGAAACCCCUGUAGUCC